Molecule: ribosomal RNA, 397 nt
Filed under: uncultured Neocallimastigomycetes
Lineage: Eukaryota; Fungi; Neocallimastigomycota; Neocallimastigomycetes
Description: eukaryotic LSU rRNA
Rfam family: Eukaryotic large subunit ribosomal RNA
Source: RNAcentral
GUUCUACCUUGACGAAUUGUAGUUUAAAGAAGUGUUUUCUGUUAGAUGAGUAGCAAAAGUUCCUUGGAAUGGGACAUCAUAGAGGGUGAGAAUCCCGUAUUUGGUUAUUCAUUCUAGCUUUGUGAUACACUUUCAAAGAGUCGGAUUGUUUGGGAAUGCAGUCCAAAAUGGGUGGUAAAUUUCAUCUAAAGCUAAAUAUUGGCGAGAGACCGAUAGCGAACAAGUACCGUGAGGGAAAGAUGAAAAGAACUUUGAAAAGAGAGUUAAACAGUACGUGAAAUUGUCAAAAGGGAAGCGUUUGACACCAGUGUCGUUUUUCCGAAAAUCAAUUACGAAUGGCUUGAUUCUGUGUUGUAUUGACCUUAUCAGCUUUCUUCACUUUUUUCGAGUCUUUCUU